GUUAAAACGCUCGUAGUUGGAUAUUUGUCAAGGACUGCCGGUCUACCCUAGCGGUCAGCACUCGGUAUGUCCUCGGCAUUUUCCUGGAGACAGUGUUCGUACUUAAUUGUAUGGCACAUGAACCAGAACUUUUACUUUGAGGAAAUGAGAGUGUUUCAAGCAGGCGUACGUCGUGAAUACGUUAGCAUGGAAUAAUAGCAUAGGACCCCGGUCUGAAGCUGUUGGUUUUUGGGCCGAGGUAAUGAAAAUAGGGAUAGUUGGGGGCAUUCGUAUUUAACUGUCAGAGGUGAAAUUCUUGGAUUUUUUAAAGACGGACUACUGCGAAAGCAUCUGCCCAGGAUGUUUUUAUUAAUCAAGAACGAAAGUUAGGGGAUCGAAGACGAUCAGAUACCGUCCUAGUCUUAACCUUAAACCAUGCCGACUAGAGAUUGGGGUCGUCAGCACUUUGACGCCUUCAGCAACUUGAGAGAAAUCCAAGUCUUUGGGUUCCGGGGGGAGUAUGGUCGCAAGGCUGAAACUCAAGGAAUUGACGGAAGGGCACCACCAGGAGUGGAGCCUGCGGCUU
This 565-nucleotide ribosomal RNA is filed under the name uncultured marine eukaryote. RNAcentral's name for it is "SSU rRNA". It matches the Rfam family "Eukaryotic small subunit ribosomal RNA", at positions 618 to 1191 of the family's 1831-position model. The record is from RNAcentral.